GUGCCAGCAGCCGCGGUAAUACGUAGGGUGCGAGCGUUGUCCGGAAUUAUUGGGCGUAAAGAGCUCGUAGGCGGUGUGUCGCGUCGGUCGUGAAAACUUGGGGCUUAACCCUGAGCUUGCGGUCGAUACGGGCAUCACUGGAGUUCGGCAGGGGAGACUGGAAUUCCUGGUGUAGCGGUGAAAUGCGCAGAUAUCAGGAGGAACACCGGUGGCGAAGGCGGGUCUCUGGGCCGAUACUGACGCUGAGGAGCGAAAGCCGUGGGGAGCGAACAGGAUUAAAUACCCUGGUAGUCC
Molecule: ribosomal RNA, 294 nt
Filed under: uncultured microorganism
Description: partial 16S ribosomal RNA
Rfam family: Bacterial small subunit ribosomal RNA
Source: RNAcentral